This 710-nucleotide ribosomal RNA is filed under the name Phytophthora sp. APC001. RNAcentral's name for it is "eukaryotic LSU rRNA". It matches the Rfam family "Eukaryotic large subunit ribosomal RNA", at positions 81 to 630 of the family's 3401-position model. Lineage: Eukaryota; Oomycota; Peronosporomycetes; Peronosporales; Peronosporaceae. The record is from RNAcentral.
UAGUACGGCGAGUGAAGCGGGAAGAGCUCAAGCUUAAAAUCUCCGUGCAAGUUUUGCGCGGCGAAUUGUAGUCUAUAGAGGCGUGGUCAGCGUGGGCGCUUGGGGCAAGUUCCUUGGAAGAGGACAGCAUGGAGGGUGAUACUCCCGUUCAUCCCUGAGUGGCUCGUGCGUACGACCCGUUUUCUUUGAGUCGCGUUGUUUGGGAAUGCAGCGCAAAGUAGGUGGUAAAUUCCAUCUAAAGCUAAAUAUUGGUGCGAGACCGAUAGCGAACAAGUACCGUGAGGGAAAGAUGAAAAGAACUUUGAAAAGAGAGUUAAAGAGUACCUGAAACUGCUGAAAGGGAACCGAAUCGUUUCCAGUGUCUAUAAUCCGUGGCAUAUUUCAUUGGCGAGCGUUUGCGUGCGUGUGCUGUGGCAGUGGCUUUUUUGGCUGCGCCUGGCGUGUGUGCUGUGAGUGUUUGCUGGUGCCCUGUGCUGCGGUGGGACGUCAAGGUCAGUUCGUAUGCUGCGGGAAAUGGCUGCCGAGGAGGUAGGGCUUACGCUCCGCGUUUGUCUGUUAUAUCUUGGUGGACGAGUCGUCGUGGUUGGGACUGAGGUGCCUACAACGUGCUUUUGAGUGGGUUUGUGUCUCCGUGUGCGCCGUGUGCGGAUAGCUUGCUAUGCGUGUGUGGUUGUGUGUGGAUUGAUGCGGGCUUUAACUUGUCGCCGUUC